ACGUGAACUGUGACGGAGACAGGCCUUCUUGUGCUGAGAGGUAGUGCCGGGCAUACUCGAGAUGGUUCUCGCUGGAGUCGCUCACGACAACAUGCGAGAACUUGCGGGCGAGCUGGACUGAUACCUGGCCUGGCCCGGCGCCU
This 143-nucleotide small nucleolar RNA is filed under the name Trichophyton rubrum BMU01672. RNAcentral's name for it is "CD-box snoRNA". The record is from RNAcentral. Lineage: Eukaryota; Fungi; Ascomycota; Eurotiomycetes; Onygenales; Arthrodermataceae.